RNAcentral lists this ribosomal RNA (1167 nucleotides) under uncultured soil eukaryote. RNAcentral describes it as "SSU rRNA". It matches the Rfam family "Eukaryotic small subunit ribosomal RNA", at positions 15 to 1060 of the family's 1831-position model. The record is from RNAcentral.
UGCCAGUAUUAUAUACUUAUAUUAAAGAUUAAGCCAUGCAAAUGUUAGAUCGAAUUUUUUAACUUUUAAUCUGUUGAUGGCUCAAUACAAGAGUUAUUUACUCUUCGUUUGCCAGCACAGCUAAGGAUAACGUAGCCAACAGCAGCGAUAAUACUCGAAUAAAUAGGGUGCAAAAACACCUUAAUGAUAGGAGAAGUAGAUUUAAGCCUAUCACAACCAAACUAUUUUGCUUUGAUACCGUUAAAAGUUGAGAGGUAAAAUAUUGGAUGUUGACCGAUUUGUAUAAUGAGAUAAGGCCACACGUUUUCAUAGAUGUAUCGGCGUAUCUUUAAUAAGAUGGCCAAAUGUAUGUGUUUCUUAUCUAUCAGUUUCAGAUGUUUUAUUAAGGAUGAAACAUGGCUUUUACGGAUACGGAGAAUUAGAGUUUGAUACCGGAGAGGGCGCUUGAGGAUUGGCGACCACGUCUAAGGAUGGCAGCAGGCGCGAAAAUUGUCCAAUAUUGACUUAAUGAGACAGUGACGAUAAAUAACGACCUUUAACUUUUCGUUAAAGGGUAUCCUUUGGGUUUGUAAUGGUUGUACAUUAAAAUUCUACAAGAGUAACGAUUGGAGGAAAAGUCUGGUGCCAGCACCCGCGGUAAUUCCAGCUCCAAUAGCGUAUUCUAAAAUUGUUGCAGUUAAAACGCUCGUAGUUUGACUAAAAAUACAAAUGUGUGAGCAGUGUCAAAUGCGGCUAUCUUUUUAUGAUUCAGUUCGUUUAAAGAAGCUGUGCCCAAGGCAAAAAUUUUGACAUUUUUAGAUCACGCCAAACUUACUGUAGCUUGCUACUUUAGGCUGUGUGUUAUCGCUUACAUAAUGAAGUAUUUGCUGUUUCCAACUGUGAGUAAAUCAAAGUGCUUAAAACAAGCUAACUAUUUAUAGUGUAGCAUGAAUGGUUUAGCAUGGUAUUGGAUUAAUAUUUUCUUCAAAUAUUAAAAGAGAACUAGGCAGAGGGUUUUUGCAUUGUAUUGUUAGAGGUGAAAUUCAGAGAUCGAUACAAGACUCACAAAUGCGAAGGCAGUUAUACCCAUGACAUUUCUAUCAAUCAGGAACGAAAGUUGGGGGAUCGAAGAUGAUUAGAUACCGUCGUAGUCCUAACCGUAAACUAUGUCGACUAAAGAUUAGUUAA